Long non-coding RNA from Clupea harengus (Atlantic herring), 751 nucleotides. RefSeq lists it as uncharacterized. The record is from RefSeq and is a predicted model, not a curated record. The transcript is spliced from 2 exons. NCBI's taxonomy places the organism in Eukaryota, Metazoa, Chordata, Actinopteri, Clupeiformes, Clupeidae.
AGCAGGUACAGGUGUUACCUGUUUCAAGCCAGGUGCCCCCCUCUUUUCCCACCUCCCACCCGUCAGCACCUCCACAGGGUACACAGAUGCCUUUCUUCCCAACCAGUGUGGCUCCUCCUAUUCAACACAGCGGUGCUGAUGGUUGGAGGAGUGGCAAACCUGAAGAUAUGCCCCCACAAUACACCACUACCCAAGAAUAAGUCAUGUGACUCCAUCUAGAUUUCCUGGGGAGGCUUUAUGUCUCAAGCAAAUGGUAACCUUGUGACUCUUUUGAAUCAUUUGUGUCUUCAAUACAUUCUUGAAGAGUAAGUGUGUGCAUGUAUGCAAGUAAAGCCAUUUCUAUAUACUCACUAUAAAAUGUAUCUAUUAAACUGAAAUUCAAGCUAACUAUCAUGCUCCAAUUGACUUUGCAUUCCAGGUUCUCAAUCAAUCAAUGCAACUAUUGGAAAGCAACCCAUUAGCAAUGACAAUCCAUCUUAUAAAGUCACCAUUACAUAUAGGAAUGAUAUGAGCAAACACAUAGUGGAAAGCAUAAUAUGUAUGAAGGUUACUGUUUCUCUCUGUAGUAAUAUAUUAUUUAGGCCCACAUUAUUUCGACUUUUAAUAUAUUAUUUACGCCCACAUUAUAUAGACUUUGCUAAGAUGAAAAUGACCGAUAUUGUUGCUCUAUUGUCUGCAAAUCAAUCAAAAAUCAAAUUCUUGUCAUUGUAUUACGAAUGUGUACUUACUUUAAUUAAAAUAAUUACAUUCA